AAGGGGAGGCCUGUCCCUGGCCAAGCAAGUUCCUUAGAAGUAGAUAGUUCAGCCUUUUAGUGGGAACUCGCGGAAGAUCACAGUUCGGUGUUAAGUCCGGAAGAUUCCUGGAAGAGAACCAGUUCAGCCUCUGGCAGGUUGGACCUCAGGCAGGUAGUGGCACAUCAAAAGAGCAGCACAGCAGGUGGCUCCGCUCAAGUGGUGGCAGAUGGUCACAGCCAGCCUUGCUAGGCUGGAAGGAGACCUUUGCUCAUUGCUGAAGAUAUGUCUGUUUAGCUCAGCUUUGUGAAGCCUCGGAACUUGGUCAUAAUCUGAAUGAAUGCCAAGUAGGCCACUGGGCAUCCAACACUCACAAGCCUUCUCAAUGACCUUCUCAGUCACAUAAGCCCUGAGGCAGAUCCGAAGAAAGAGCCGUGUUCUUCUGACAGGCAGAUUGGAAACAAAAUAUCCACUCGCAGUUUGGCAAGAAGGAGAGUACGGACUGAUCUGCAGUGGCCGCUCCAAAUGGCAACUGCUUCAAAACCAAUUCUGCCUCCAUCCCGGCACAGAAAGCAUCCCUCAGCUUGCCUCCUCCCAGCAGAGCAACUGCUUGCAGAUUUGGAGUCAGGUGCAAGACAUGAAGUGGGUUGUCAAAAUAGGUGCCUUGGGUCAGUCCAGGCAGGGGAGGAGGAAGAAGUGCAAAGGAACAAAGGCCAUCGUGGCAAAGAAGGCAUAGGUACAGGAAUGUGAGCUGGCUAGAUACUUUGUAUCUGAAGUCAAGAAGCAGAGAGCAGACAGGAAGUGAGGACCAUUCAUAAACUCUCAAAUCCUACCAAUCUUCUCCUGUGAGACUCCAGCUUCUCAAGAUUCCACAAGUUUUCCAGACAGAGCCAUCAGUUGGAGACCAUGGAGAACAGUUGGAGACCAAACACUUGAGCCUGUGGAAGGCUUUGCAUACUCAUACCACGGUGGAUUCCUGCCCAUGAGACUCUUGGGAUACGGGGAUAGCCCAUUCAUCCUAUGAGAGUUUAGAGACGAGUUUGGGAAAGAAGACCAAGAAAAACCAGGACCACCUUGAAGAAGCCCCUACGAUAAAGGUGAUGAGAAAAGACGCAGCCUCUUUUUCAUUCUUAGGUGGAAGACAUGACAUGGAAUGGGUGAGCAAAGACAUGGCGCAAGCCAAAUGGAAGGUAGUGUGCGUGGAUCUGGUAGAGCCUGGAAGACUUCUUAGAGGAAGAA
Mus musculus (house mouse) is the source of this 1218-nucleotide long non-coding RNA. RefSeq annotates it as predicted gene, 34677. The transcript has 4 exons. The record is from RefSeq and is a predicted model, not a curated record. Lineage: Eukaryota; Metazoa; Chordata; Mammalia; Rodentia; Muridae.